AUGGAGUCCGAGAAGGCAUCGCGGCCGGCGUCGCUCCUCGGGACGCUGCGGACGGCGGUGAAGAAGGUGCGGUUCCUCCUCUCCUUCAGCGCCACGCGCUGGAUCAUCAACUCCAUCGCCGGCCGCCGGAGCGCGCCCGGCGCGACGGCGCCGCUCCGCCUCAGCUUCGGCUCGAGGCGGCCGGGCCUGCUCGACGCGGAGGACGACGACGGCUCCCCCGCGUCCACCGCCGGGCCGGCCAGGACGGCGAGCCUCGGGUCGGGCGGCGUGUCGCGGACGAGCAGCGCGGUGGCGGCGUCGGAGUACUCGAGGUCCGCUUCGUCGGGCGCGACGUCCUCGUCGAGCGGGGGGUCGUCGCCGGCGGGGGACGACGACAUCGACCGGCGCGCGGAGCUGUUCAUCGCCAACUUCUACAAGCACAUCCAGAUGGAGCGGCAGGUGUCGCUGCAGCUGCGCUACUGCAGGGUCGACAGCCUGCAGGAGAGGUCGCCUCCCCGCAGGGUUUCUUGA
This 510-nucleotide ribosomal RNA is filed under the name Triticum aestivum (bread wheat). RNAcentral's name for it is "partial small subunit ribosomal RNA". The record is from RNAcentral. Lineage: Eukaryota; Viridiplantae; Streptophyta; Magnoliopsida; Poales; Poaceae.